UGGGGAAUAUUGCACAAUGGGCGCAAGCCUGAUGCAGCCAUGCCGCGUGUAUGAAGAAGGCCUUCGGGUUGUAAAGUACUUUCAGCGGGGAUGAAGGGAGUAAAGUUAAUACCUUUGCUCAUUGACGUUACCCGCAGAAGAAGCACCGGCUAACUCCGUGCCAGCAGCCGCGGUAAUACGGAGGGUGCAAGCGUUAAUCGGAAUUACUGGGCGUAAAGCGCACGCAGGCGGUUUGUUAAGUCAGAUGUGAAAUCCCCGGGCUCAACCUGGGAACUGCAUCUGAUACUGGCAAGCUUGAGUCUCGUAGAGGGGGGUAGAAUUCCAGGUGUAGCGGUGAAAUGCGUAGAGAUCUGGAGG
This 357-nucleotide ribosomal RNA is filed under the name uncultured bacterium. RNAcentral describes it as "partial 16S ribosomal RNA". It matches the Rfam family "Bacterial small subunit ribosomal RNA", at positions 355 to 704 of the family's 1533-position model. The record is from RNAcentral.